This 497-nucleotide ribosomal RNA is filed under the name uncultured bacterium. RNAcentral's name for it is "partial 16S ribosomal RNA". It matches the Rfam family "Bacterial small subunit ribosomal RNA", at positions 28 to 507 of the family's 1533-position model. The record is from RNAcentral.
GAUGAACGCUGGCGGCGUGCCUAAUACAUGCAAGUCGAGCGAACAGAUGAGGAGCUUGCUCCUCUGACGUUAGCGGCGGACGGGUGAGUAACACGUGGAUAACCUACCUAUAAGACUGGGAUAACUUCGGGAAACCGGAGCUAAUACCGGAUCAUAUAUUGAACCGCAUGGUUCAAUAGUGAAAGACGGUUUUGCUGUCACUUAUAGAUGGAUCCGCGCCGCAUUAGCUAGUUGGUAAGGUAACGGCUUACCAAGGCAACGAUGCGUAGCCGACCUGAGAGGGUGAUCGGCCACACUGGAACUGAGACACGGUCCAGACUCCUACGGGAGGCAGCAGUAGGGAAUCUUCCGCAAAGGGCGAAAGCCUGACGGAGCAACGCCGCGUGAGUGAUGAAGGUCUUCGGAUCGUAAAACUCUGUUAUUAGGGAAGAACAAAUGUGUAAGUAACUAUGCACGUCUUGACGGUACCUAAUCAGAAAGCCACGGCUAACUACGUG